This 1162-nucleotide long non-coding RNA is filed under the name Triticum aestivum (bread wheat). RNAcentral describes it as "long non-coding RNA (TAES_LNC024931)". Lineage: Eukaryota; Viridiplantae; Streptophyta; Magnoliopsida; Poales; Poaceae. The record is from RNAcentral.
GCAGGUUCAACUACCUCGUCAGUUCGUAGAUGCUCACUGUAUCUAGUACCACCUCAUUGUCUUAUUCAUAAAUUAAAUACCCAUUGACCAUUGGAGUGACUAGUAGUCUGCUCAAGCAAACUAAAUGUUAGGCUUCUUCCACUUAUGUGGAUCUUUGAAUCACUUAAGUGGCAGCUACGAUCACCAGUCUAGAGUGGUACCUUAAUGUACAAUGAACUGUUUGCAUUUUUUUGUCGUAAAUAAAUCAAUACUUGAAGUAUCCAUAAUUAAGUGAUGGAAAGCUAAGUUUGUUAUGUAUUUACCAGGAUAUGCAGGUUUAUUGUUCUCUGUAUUUAAGUUGGUUGUUCCAUCACCAGUAGGAACAGUUGGAACUCACAAAUUCUCCAUGACACUUGUGGUUAGGUAAAAAAGGUCAAUGAACCAAAAGGUCAUCCAGUCCUAUAGUUGUUGGUUGUUCCCAUAGCUCAUGUUGAACAUGUUCUCCUAAAUUAACAUGCACUUUCUUUCUGUUUGAUGGCUCACACAUAAUAACUCUUAAAAAAUGGUGUGGAUUAGCAAUUUCUUAGCUAACUUAUCGCUUUCUUUGAUUUGCUGUGCAAUCCUCUUCAGUUUGGACAUUAAUGCCGAACAACACCUUCCAUUUUUUCUGUUAUAUCAACAAUAAAUAAUGUUCACUAGCAUGUUUCCAGCAUUCAAAAUGAAAUGUUCCUAACUAAAGGUGUUACUUAUGUGCAUCUUAAUCAGUAACAUAAACUUGGAGGUUUUAUUUUAGUAAAUUGUGUACGUAUUGUUCUCCAUUGUCAUGAGUAUUCCAAGAAAAGCAUGGUUCAUCCUUCUAAUUUAUGAUAUUUCUGCUUUUGAUUGCGUGUUCAAAGUUUCAGUUGUGUAUUUGUGUUGCUUUGACAGGAGAUAUUAUAAUGAUGUGAAGGAUUGUUGGUUCAAUGAGAAUUUUCAGGAGGUGGCAAAAGUUGUGGUUAUAACAACAGUAAUCAAAUGAGAUAUCCAGACUGGACAAUUCUGUGGGAGAGGAAGCUAAUAUAUUCCUUUAAAGUGUGGAAGAUACUGAUAUAUACGAAGUAGAUUUGUUAUGCAAGAUGAUGUAUUUGUAGUACUCUGUUUGAUACGAUUACUAAGAUUGUCAACUUAUGUAAAUUUGUGUUCA